GUUAAGCGACUAAGCGUACACGGUGGAUGCCCUGGCAGUCAGAGGCGAUGAAGGGCGUGCUAAUCUGCGAUAAGCGCCGGUAAGGUGAUAUGAACCGUUAUAACCGGCGAUACCCGAAUGGGGAAACCCAGUGUGAUUCGUCACACUAUCAUUAACUGAAUCCAUAGGUUAAUGAGGCGAACCGGGGGAACUGAAACAUCUAAGUACCCCGAGGAAAAGAAAUCAACCGAGAUUCCCCCAGUAGCGGCGAGCGAACGGGGAGGAGCCCAGAGCCUGAAUCAGCAUGUGUGUUAGUGGAAGCGUCUGGAAAGGCGCGCGAUACAGGGUGACAGCCCCGUACACAAAAGCGCAUGUGCUGUGAGCUCGAUGAGUAGGGCGGGACACGUGGUAUCCUGUCUGAAUAUGGGGGGACCAUCCUCCAAGGCUAAAUACUCCUGACUGACCGAUAGUGAACCAGUACCGUGAGGGAAAGGCGAAAAGAACCCCGGCGAGGGGAGUGAAAAAGAACCUGAAACCGUGUACGUACAAGCAGUGGGAGCACAGGUUUACCUGUGUGACUGCGUACCUUUUGUAUAAUGGGUCAGCGACUUAUAUUCUGUAGCAAGGUUAACCGUAUAGGGGAGCCGGAGGGAAACCGAGUCUUAACCGGGCGUUAAGUUGCAGGGUAUAGACCCGAAACCCGGUGAUCUAGCCAUGGGCAGGUUGAAGGUUGGGUAACACUAACUGGAGGACCGAACCGACUAAUGUUGAAAAAUUAGCGGAUGACCUGUGGCUGGGGGUGAAAGGCCAAUCAAACCGGGAGAUAGCUGGUUCUCCCCGAAAGCUAUUUAGGUAGCGCCUCGUGAAUUCAUCUCCGGGGGUAGAGCACUGUUUCGGCUAGGGGGCCAUCCCGGCUUACCAACCCGAUGCAAACUGCGAAUACCGGAGAAUGUUAUCACGGGAGACACACGGCGGGUGCUAACGUCCGUCGUGAAGAGGGAAACAACCCAGACCGCCAGCUAAGGUCCCAAAGUCAUGGUUAAGUGGGAAACGAUGUGGGAAGGCCCAGACAGCCAGGAUGUUGGCUUAGAAGCAGCCAUCAUUUAAAGAAAGCGUAAUAGCUCACUGGUCGAGUCGGCCUGCGCGGAAGAUGUAACGGGGCUAAACCAUGCACCGAAGCUGCGGCAGCGAACGUAUCACUUAAAGCGAUUCAGCGGGUUACGAUUGACGGAGCGAAGCGACGUCAAAGCGUAUACAAAGUCGAGUCGGUUUAAGGAUACGUUCGUUGGGUAGGGGAGCGUUC
RNAcentral lists this ribosomal RNA (1282 nucleotides) under Salmonella enterica subsp. enterica serovar Anatum. Its description in RNAcentral is "partial 23S ribosomal RNA". It matches the Rfam family "Bacterial large subunit ribosomal RNA", at positions 1 to 1241 of the family's 2925-position model. The record is from RNAcentral. Lineage: Bacteria; Pseudomonadati; Pseudomonadota; Gammaproteobacteria; Enterobacterales; Enterobacteriaceae.